GACGAACGCUGGCGGCGUGCUUAACACAUGCAAGUCGAACGGAAAGGCCCCGCUUUUGUGGGGUGCUCGAGUGGCUAACGGGUGAGUAACACGUGAGUAACCUGCCCUUGACUUUGGGAUAACUUCAGGAAACUGGGGCUAAUACCGGAUAGGAGCUCCUGCUGCAUGGUGGGGGUUGGAAAGUUUCGGCGGUUGGGGAUGGACUCGCGGCUUAUCAGCUUGUUGGUGGGGUAGUGGCUUACCAAGGCUUUGACGGGUAGCCGGCCUGAGAGGGUGACCGGCCACAUUGGGACUGAGAUACGGCCCAGACUCCUACGGGAGGCAGCAGUGGGGAAUAUUGCACAAUGGGCGGAAGCCUGAUGCAGCAACGCCGCGUGCGGGAUGACGGCCUUCGGGUUGUAAACCGCUUUCGCCUGUGACGAAGCGUGAGUGACGGUAAUGGGUAAAGAAGCACCGGCUAACUACGUG
This 468-nucleotide ribosomal RNA is filed under the name uncultured bacterium. RNAcentral describes it as "partial 16S ribosomal RNA". It matches the Rfam family "Bacterial small subunit ribosomal RNA", at positions 28 to 507 of the family's 1533-position model. The record is from RNAcentral.